Molecule: non-coding RNA, 29 nt
Filed under: Mus musculus (house mouse)
Lineage: Eukaryota; Metazoa; Chordata; Mammalia; Rodentia; Muridae
Source: RNAcentral
UCNCCAACGAAAGCUUUAGAGUGACUCGA